This 427-nucleotide ribosomal RNA is filed under the name uncultured bacterium. RNAcentral's name for it is "bacterial SSU rRNA". It matches the Rfam family "Bacterial small subunit ribosomal RNA", at positions 355 to 774 of the family's 1533-position model. The record is from RNAcentral.
UAGGGAAUAUUGGACAAUGGGGGCAACCCUGAUCCAGCCAUGCCGCGUGAGUGAAGAAGGCCCUCGGGUUGUAAAGCUCUUUUGUCCGGAAAGAAAAGCAUUCGGUGAAUACCCGGAUGUUCUGACGGUACCGGAAGAAUAAGCACCGGCUAACUUCGUGCCAGCAGCCGCGGUAAUACGAAGGGUGCAAGCGUUACUCGGAAUUACUGGGCGUACAGCGUGCGUAGGUGGUUGUUUAAGUCUGAUGUGAAAGCCCUGGGCUCAACCUGGGAAUGGCAUUGGAAACUGGGCAGCUAGAGUGCGGUAGAGGGUAGUGGAAUUCCCGGUGUAGCAGUGAGAUGCGUAGAGAUCGGGAGGAACAUCUGUGGCGAAGGCGACUGCCUGGACCAGCACUGACACUGAGGCACGAAAGCGUGGGGAGCAAACA